Molecule: ribosomal RNA, 490 nt
Filed under: uncultured bacterium
Lineage: Bacteria
Description: partial 16S ribosomal RNA
Rfam family: Bacterial small subunit ribosomal RNA
Source: RNAcentral
AUUGAUCGCUGGCGGCAGGCCUAACACAUGCAAGUCGAACGGUAACAGGAAGAAGCUUGCUUCUUUGCUGACGAGUGGCGGACGGGUGAGUAAUGUCUGGGAAACUGCCUGAUGGAGGGGGAUAACUACUGGAAACGGUAGCUAAUACCGCAUAACGUCGCAAGACCAAAGAGGGGGACCUUCGGGCCUCUUGCCAUCGGAUGUGCCCAGAUGGGAUUAGCUAGUAGGUGGGGUAACGGCUCACCUAGGCGACGAUCCCUAGCUGGUCUGAGAGGAUGACCAGCCACACUGGAACUGAGACACGGUCCAGACUCCUACGGGAGGCAGCAGUGGGGAAUAUUGCACAAUGGGCGCAAGCCUGAUGCAGCCAUGCCGCGUGUAUGAAGAAGGCCUUCGGGUUGUAAAGUACUUUCAGCGGGGAGGAAGGGAGUAAAGUUAAUACCUUUGCUCAUUGACGUUACCCGCAGAAGAAGCACCGGCUAACUCCGUG